UUCUUUGGGUUUUGUUUUUUGAAAGGCAGAGAAACAGAGAUCUUCCACCUGCUGGUUCCCUCCCCAAAUGCCCACAACAGCCAGGGUUGGGCCAGGUUAAAGCCAGGAGCCAGGAACUCUAUCUAGAUCUCCCAUGUGGGUGGCAGGGGGCCCAAGCACUCGAAUCAUCAUCUACUACUGCCCAGGGUAUGGAGUAGCAGGAGGCUGGCCCAGAAGCAGAGGCGAGACUGGAACCCAGGCACUCUGACAUGGGGUACGGGCAUCCUCAGUGGUGGAUUAACCUGCUCAUCCUGAGCUGGUGGCAGAGCGCCCACCCCCCCCGAAAACCCUAUUUUGACUUCCUACUGCAGAUCUAAAGAUGAAAGGGAACGUGUGGUGUUGGUGUUGGUGUUGGUGUUGCUGCUGGAGCGACUGCUCUACUUUGGCAAUUUUGUUUCUGACAGGGCUAUAAUGUAGCAAUUUUUUUUUUUUGACAGGCAGAGUGGACAGUGAGAGAGAGAGACAGAGAGAAAGGUCUUCCUUUGUCGUUGAGCAAAUAAGUGAAUACAUUGUAACAAAGGCCAGAUUUCUCAGCAUUGGCAGAAGCAGUUACAAAUAAGGAAAAGUGGAGGGCUAGGAUUAAUCUUAUUGUAGUCGACUGAACUAGAGGGGUCGGUAUGCACUUGUGAUUUUUUUGUAAUUUUUAUUUUUAAUUCAUUUGCUUGAGAGAAGAGAGACAAGAUACAGAGAGCUCUCAUCUGCUAGUUGAUUUCCCAAAUGCCUGCAACAGCCUCUUGGGGCCCAAACCCAGAGCUGAGAGCUCCACCCAGGUUUCCCAAGUGCGCGGGAAGGAGUCAGCUACCUGAGCCGUCAGCAGUGCCUCCCAGGGUCUGCGCUGGCAGGAGCUGGAAUUAGCAGACAGAGCUGGUACUGUGGUGUGGGACACAGGCAGCCUAUGGUAUCUCCAGAUGCCUAGAUAGCAGUGUGUGUGUACUUCCUACACUAAUAGCCCACUAGCUUAGCUCCCAGAUCGUGGUUUCUAAUUAUUCGCCAGUAAAAGGAGCCAGGGCACCUUAGAGAACUGGCUGAGUGGAGGGGUUGGGUCAGGGGGAGAACAAAUGUAUCCAGAGCAUCUUGUGGUGCAGGAAGGGAUAGAAGGGCUCAGAAAAUGACCAGUGGGUGGGUGUUGUGGUGCAGUGGGUUAGGCCACCACUUGGGGCCCUGCAUCCCAUAUUAGACUGCUUGGUUCAAGUCCCAGCCCCUCUGCUUCCGAUCCAGCUCCCUGGCUAAGUUCCUGGAAGGCAGCACACGGUGGCCCAAAGUAUUUGGGUCCCUGCCACCCACAUGGGAGAUGCUGGAUCCUGGCUUCAGCCUGGCCCAGGCCCAGCUGUUGUAGCCAUUUGGGCAGCAAACCAGAGGGUGGAAGAUAUUCUCUCUCUCUCUCUCUCUCUCUCUCUCUCUCUCUCUCUCUCACACACACACACACACACACACAGAAUAUUUAAAAUAAGCAAAUAAUUUCUUUUUAAUGGCUGAGGCUUGAGGCUGGUGGUGUAGUGCAGUGGGUUAGGCCACUGCUUGUGAUGCCAGCAUCCCAUAUCAGUCCUGGUUCAGGUCCCAGCUGUUCUGUUUCUGAUCCAGCUGCCUGGCUAGUGUGCCUGGGAAGGUGGCAGAUGAUGGCCUCUGGGAUGGAGUUCCAGGCUCCUGGCUUUGGCCUAGACCAGUCCCAGCUGUUAACUAUUUGGAGAGUGAAUCAGGGGAUGGAUGAUCUCUCCUUCUCUCCUCUCCCUCUCUCUUCCUCCCUCCUGCUCUCUACCUUUGUUUUUCUUUUUUUUAAAAGAUUUAUUUUAUUUAUUUGACAGGCAGAGAUAGAUAGAUAGAGAGUGGUCUUCCUUCCGCUGGUUCACUCCCCAGAUGACCACAAUGGCCAGAGCUGUGUUGAUCCGAAGCCAGGAGUCAGGAGCCAGGAGCUUCUUCCAGGUCUCCCACGUAGGGGCAGGGUCCCAAGGACUUGGGCCAUCUUCUACUGUUUUCCCAGGCCAUAACAGAAAGCUGGAUAGGAAGAGGAGCAGCUGGGAUUAGAACUGGGGCCCAUAUGGGAUGCCAGUGUUUCAGGCCAGGGCAUGAACCCACUGCACCACAGCGCUAGCCCCAUGCUCUCUGCCUUUCAAAUAAAUAAAUACAUAUUUUUUAAAAUGAUUGAGCCCUGUCAGAAGACACAGAAACCAACUCAAAGGUGCCUCCAAUCCAGAACACACUGAAUAACACAGUAGUUAAUCAUAAUGGCAAAUUAUAGCUUAUAGAAUAAAUAUCCAGAGCCGGCGCUGUGGUGAAGUGGCUAAGCCUCUGCCUGCAGUGCCAGUAUCCCAUAUGGGCACCAGUUUGUGCCCUGGCUCCUGGCUUCAGAUGGGCCCAGCUCUGGCCAUUGCAGCCAUCUGGGGAGUGAACCAAUGAGUGGAAGAUGUUUCUCUCUCUCUCUCCCUCUCCCUCUCCCUCUCCCUUUCCCUCUCCCUCUCCCUCCUUCUCCUUCUCUCUGUAACUCUGCCUCUCAAAUAGAUAAAAAAAAAACUUAAAAAAAAAUGAGUCCCUACAGACAUAAUAAUUGAGUAAAUAAACACAUGGAGAAACAGAGAUCACCUUCCUUACAGUAGGAUUCCAGUGAAUACAUGUGGAAGGAAUGAUGGAAAUGACGACUUGGUUCACAUCAUGCUAAUCAUUUUUGCCAGCAAGAACUUCAGCGAUGCCAAAUGCCCUGGCCCAAUUAGCGAUGACACACGGGGCUGUGGGCUCAGUGCCUGCCACGUUGAAACCUAGUCCACAUGGUGGCUGCAUUAGAAGGUGGGGUGUUGGGGGGCCAUCUGGUCAUGCGUGGGAUCAGUUUCCUUGUUAAAGAGCUUCUGUGGUUAACCUCUCACCAUAGGAGGACCCAGGAGGGCACCACCUUGGAGACACAGGCCCCCACCAUGCACCAGACCCACCAGCACCUUCACCUUGGUUAUCUUAUCCCAGCUGCCAACACCAAGAGAAGGUGGAGUUUCUGGUGUGUAAACCACCAGCGUGUGGUAUGUUUGUUUCAGCAUCCCUAAUAGAUUAAGUCCAAUGGGAUAUUCACUUGGUCUCCCAGUAGCUCCUCCCCAGGGUCUUUCUGGUGACAAAGGGAAAAUAGAAGCUGCAGAUAGAAAUCAGGCACUUGCUUCAUCGCAUGAACAGUCACCAUCAUCUCAGCCUGGUGUAGUCGCACCAUUCAGCCCGUGCGUGCACGCACUGGGCAGGGCACACCAUGUCUGUGGUGUCUCUGCCAAGCAGAUCCAGCCUCAGCCUCCCUCCGGGGACCACCGCAGGCCAAGCCAGAGGGGCUGCAUUCUCCAGAAUCAUCAGGGAAACACAGGCACAUGCUGGUGUGCGACGCUUCCGUGUGAUGAGCCAAUGCAAUUGGCUCCUGGACCAGAAACAGGAUGUUCGUGAAGCCAUUGGCAAGACUUGAAUGAAAUCUACAGAUGAGUUAAGAGUAGUAUAUCGGUAGGAAUCCCCUGAUUUCAAUAAUGUAUAAUAAUUUAUGUGUGUAAUAAUGUAAAAUAAUAAUGUAUGAUGCUAGAAUUAAAGGGUGAGGCUAAAAGGUUCACGGGAUAUGACGUUUGCAACUUUUUGGUGUAACUCCAAAAAGAUUUCAGAAUAUAUUUCAGUGUACAAACACAAAAAGACAAAAUUCAAGGUUGUAAAUCUUAACUUUCAAAAACCUCCUCAUUUGAUUUUUAUUUAUUAACUUAUCCAAAAAGCAGAAUGAUAGAAACUGAGAGACAAAGAGCAAGCAACAGAGAUCUUUCAGCUGCUGAUUCACUCUCUCAAUACCUGCAACAGCCAAGGCUGGGCCAGGUGGACAGCAGGAGCCGGGAACUCUGAGUCUCCCAGGUGGGUGGCAGGCACCAAGUCCACGGCCUCCCCAGGCACAUCAGCAGGAAGCUGGAUCAGAAGUGGAGCAGCCAGGAUGCAAACCAGCGCUCAGAGCCCGUAGAUGGUGGAUGGUGACCUGGCAAUGAAGAACAGACGAAUAACAAAGGCAUUCCCAUGAAGAGGAGGAGCAAAGCAAGGAUGCUUGCAUGGCGAAUAUCUGAUCACUACUUGGAGAGAAAUGAAAGGCACGCAUGUAUGAAGGAAAAGUCAAGUUCGUCACCAUUUGCAAAUGAUAUGAUUCAUACUGGAGAAGUCCUAGCCAGUGGAAUGAACAAAUCGGGGAACUUAGUGCAGUGACUGGGCUCAGACAUACAUAUAUAAAACUUAUAAUCAGUGAUGGCCAAAUAGGAAGCAGAAAAUAAAACAAUUUAUUCACCCAGCAGCAACAACAACAAAAAAGCCUAAGAACAGAAUAGCUGGAAUAGCCAAAACAAUCCUGGAAAAGAAAAACAAAUUCCAUACCAUGAAACUACAGAAAUCAAGGGCACCAAGAGAACUCAAAGGGAGAAGAAACUGUUCAACAAAUAGUGCUGAGACAACCUGGGUAUCCAUACGUGGAAUGGUGAAAUUGGGUCCUUAUCACGCACCACAUAGAGAAAUUAACUCAGGGGUCAGCACUGUGGUACAGCAAGUAAGCUCUGCUUGGGACUCUGGCAUCCCUUAUUGGAGGGCCAAUUUGAGUCCUGGGUGUUCUGAUACUGCUCCAGUUUCCUGCUAAAAUGCCUGGGAAGGCAAUGGAUGAUGGCUCAAGUAAUUGGGCCCCCGCCACCCAAGAAUGGAAAAUCAAUCUCUCUCUCUCCCUCUCCCUUUCUCCCUCUCUCCCUCUCUCCCUCUCCCUCUCUCUCUCUUCCUCUCUUUCCGU
Oryctolagus cuniculus (rabbit) is the source of this 4792-nucleotide non-coding RNA. The record is from RefSeq and is a predicted model, not a curated record. NCBI's taxonomy places the organism in Eukaryota, Metazoa, Chordata, Mammalia, Lagomorpha, Leporidae.